UCAUCAGCCUGUUUCGAACGUGUGAGCGGCGCGACAUAUGUUUAUCUGCCGCUUUUCGUCGCUAUCAGAUUAACCAGAGCGUAUUAUGCGCUUAGGUUGCCUUUUCAGGCGGAAUCGAUCUCUCCUGACUGCUCUCAACAGCACAGCGGGUGGAAGUCUGCAUACAACUAGGUGUGUCUCUACCGGUCUGCCCUCGAAGAUGCCGCUGAAGUUCGCUGCGAACAUCUCGACCAUGUUCACGCAGGCUCCGCUGCUGACGCGCUACCGCGUGGCCCAGUCGCUCGGGUUCAAAGCCGUCGAAUGCCAAUUUCCCUACGACGUCGGCGUCGACAACAUCCGUAGUGAAAAAGAGACCUGCGGUCUGGAGCAUGUGCUCAUUAACUCAUAUCCAGGUGACCUGACUAAAGGUGAAAUGGGCUUCGCUGCAAAGCCAGGUUGUGAAUCUGAAUUCCUCAGCAGCUUGGAGACUACGAUAAAAUAUGCCAAGGCCUUGAACUGCAGGAAGAUACACAUCAUGGCAGGCAUCACAGGCACAGAUCGUAGCGGCAUUACGGAGGAAACAUACCUCACGAACUUGAUGAAAGCAGCUGAAUUACUUGAAAAGGAAGGAAUUGUAGGUGUCAUAGAGCCCCUGUGCAAGCAGGUUAAACCAGGAUAUUUUCUCAGUAACUAUGAACAAGCUGCACGUUAUGUCACACAGCUGAACCACAAGAACUUGCGGCUACUCUUGGACAUAUUUCACCUUCAGAUGAGCUCGGGCAAUUUGACCAACACUGUCACAAGUGUGUACCCGUUUGUAGGUCACAUACAAGUUUCUCAGGCUCCACGUAGGGAUGAGCUUAAUGCACCUGGUGAAAUAAAUUAUAAAUAUAUUCUUCGCUUAUUUGAAGAGCUUGGCUACACUGACUGGAUAGGCCUUGAGUACACGCCAUCUGGACAAGGUGGUGAUGGAGUUUCAUGGAUAAAAGAAUAUGGCUACGGCCUUUGAGGAAUGGCAGACUUGCCGUAGUUAAGGAAACAAUAUAUUCUUCUGCAAUUUAAUCCUGGGAGGAACCUGUGCAGUUAACCUUGGAGCAAGAGACUGUUCUUAGUGCUGUCUUGGCUGGCCCCAGUGUAUUCUUCACCAGUGGUGCAGGCGCAUCUUGUCAUUACUACCCCAACUAGAUGCAUUUGCCAUGGCGACGACUGGCAUCGCGGCUGCUCGGAUUGGUAGCACUACGCUGGAUUCAUUCACCGGUGUUGGCACUGGCACGGCCCUCGUGGAAGUCAUGAUUUAACGUGCAAUGUGACCACCGUGGGUGAACCAGUGGUGCCGUUGCAAGGUACUGGUGGUGUCCAUGCUGGUGUCCAUGCUGGACGGACGCUUCUACCACAAGCUCGAGCGGGUGGCCUGGCCCGGUUGGUGUGCCGCAGUGACCGUCCCUUUGAUGGCAUCCAACUAGUCCUCUGUGGUGACUUCCUGCAGGUCCCACCAAUCGGAAGGAGGAGCUGGCACUGAUCUUUUGUUUUAAGGUGCUGCCAAAAUUGUCAGUAGCUGGCCCGACGACAUCUGUGACAUGUCGGCUCACCCAUCGCAGAAACGAGACGGAAGCGCGUAGCUAGGACGCCCCCUUUUCUCCGUGUUAUACGUAAUUCGUCUCAUAUAUGUGACCAGCGAUGCAUCCAACCAGCUUCCACGUGACCUGCUUGACGUCUGGGUGCCCAAGCUGUGCAUGGCCGUCUUAGGUGUGCCCCUGUAAGCUUCACAAUGCCGACAUCCGUGGACGUUGUGAGGCAAAGACGGCAUCUCUUGACGACAUCUGCCGAACUGGAACCUCAAGCUUCCACAAGGUCCGAGGAGGCCCAGCAUUCCACCAGUUGAGCCCAAUCAUGCCUCCUUCAAGCACCACAAGGGGUGAUGUCAACACGUUCGUGGCUUCAGUGUUCUACCACUCACCUCACCUAGACACUGGUGACCACUUAACGAACACCACGAAGCAGCAGUGCUCACCGAGGCCCAGAUCUGCACCGAAGGCUACAGCCGAAGUCCUGUACCAAGUCACCACGGCCGAGGAAUGUCUGGAAAUCUCUGGACAGCACUCAGGGAGGAGACAGAAUGCAGGCAGCGUACAAGGUGCCAGUCGCCUCACUGACACGUGGUGACAUAAUCUUGAUUUUAAAGAAACAAAUAAACAGAAAACACCUACACAAA
Dermacentor albipictus is the source of this 2191-nucleotide non-coding RNA. The record is from RefSeq and is a predicted model, not a curated record. NCBI's taxonomy places the organism in Eukaryota, Metazoa, Arthropoda, Arachnida, Ixodida, Ixodidae.